GACGAACGCUGGCGGCGUGCUUAACAAAUGCAAGUCGAACGGAGUGGCGAACGGGUGAGUAACACGUGGGUGAACUGCCCGGCACUUCGGGAUAAGCCUGGGAAACUGGGUCUAAUACCGGAUAGUGGGGGCUGGGACCGCGGCCUAUCAGCGUGUUGGUGGGGUAAUGGCCUACCAAUGCGGCGACGGGUAGCCGGCCUGAGAGGGUGGACGGCCACAUGGGGACUGCGACACGGCCCAGACUCCUACGGGAGGCAGCAGUGGGGAAUAUUGCACAAUGGGCGGAAGCCUGAUGCAGCGACGCCGCGUGGGGGAUGACGGCCUUCGGGUUGUAAACUCCUUUCACCAUCGACGCGGUAGAUGGAGAAGAAGCACCGGCUAACUACGUGCCAGCAGCCGCGGUAAUUC
Molecule: ribosomal RNA, 408 nt
Filed under: uncultured bacterium
Lineage: Bacteria
Description: partial 16S ribosomal RNA
Rfam family: Bacterial small subunit ribosomal RNA
Source: RNAcentral